AACAGCUCAAAUUUGAAAUCUGGCCUCUUUGGGGUCCGAGUUGUAAUUUGUAGAGGGUGUUUCGGGCGCGAUGCCGGUCUAAGUUCCUUGGAACAGGACGUCGCAGAGGGUGAGAAUCCCGUACGCGACCGGCGAUCAAGCCUGUGUGAAGCCCCUUCGACGAGUCGAGUUGUUUGGGAAUGCAGCUCAAAAUGGGUGGUAAAUUUCAUCUAAAGCUAAAUAUUGGCCAGAGACCGAUAGCGGACAAGUAGAGUGAUCGAAAGAUGAAAAGCACUUUGGAAAGAGAGUCAAACAGCACGUGAAAUUGUUGAAAGGGAAGCGCUUGCAAUCAGACCGGUCCGGAGGCGAUCAGCCGCUGCUCGUUCAGCGGUGCACUCGCCUGCGAUCCGGCCAGCAUCGGUUUGGGUGGCGGGAUAAAAGUCCCGGGAAUGUAGCUUCUCUCGGGGAGUCUUAUAGCCCGGGUCGCAAUGCCGCCCGCCUGGACCGAGGACCGCGCUUCGGCUAGGAUGCUGGCGUAAUGGUUGCAAGCG
Molecule: ribosomal RNA, 530 nt
Filed under: Sticta laciniata
Lineage: Eukaryota; Fungi; Ascomycota; Lecanoromycetes; Peltigerales; Lobariaceae
Description: eukaryotic LSU rRNA
Rfam family: Eukaryotic large subunit ribosomal RNA
Source: RNAcentral